GAUGAACGCUGGCGGCGUGCUUAACACAUGCAAGUCGAACGGUGAAGGCGGAGCUUGCUCUGCUGGAUCAGUGGCGAACGGGUGAGUAACACGUGAGCAAUCUGCCCCUGACUCUGGGAUAAGCGCUGGAAACGGCGUCUAAUACUGGAUACGAGCUGCGAAGGCAUCUUCAGCAGCUGGAAAGAAUUUCGGUCAGGGAUGAGCUCGCGGCCUAUCAGCUUGUUGGUGAGGUAAUGGCUCACCAAGGCGUCGACGGGUAGCCGGCCUGAGAGGGUGACCGGCCACACUGGGACUGAGACACGGCCCAGACUCCUACGGGAGGCAGCAGUGGGGAAUAUUGCACAAUGGGCGAAAGCCUGAUGCAGCAACGCCGCGUGAGGGACGACGGCCUUCGGGUUGUAAACCUCUUUUAGCAGGGAAGAAGCGAAAGUGACGGUACCUGCAGAAAAAGCGCCGGCUACUACGUG
Molecule: ribosomal RNA, 467 nt
Filed under: uncultured bacterium
Lineage: Bacteria
Description: partial 16S ribosomal RNA
Rfam family: Bacterial small subunit ribosomal RNA
Source: RNAcentral